ACCUGGGUGGCUCAGUCAGUUGAGCAUCUGACUUUGGCUCAGGUCAUGAUCUCACAGUUCGUGAGUUCGAGCCCCACAUCAGGCU
This 85-nucleotide transfer RNA is filed under the name Felis catus (domestic cat). It matches the Rfam family "tRNA". Rfam says of the family: Transfer RNA (tRNA) molecules are approximately 80 nucleotides in length. Their secondary structure includes four short double-helical elements and three loops (D, anti-codon, and T loops). The record is from Rfam by way of RNAcentral. Lineage: Eukaryota; Metazoa; Chordata; Mammalia; Carnivora; Felidae. RNAcentral also lists the same sequence under 1 other name.